This 72-nucleotide transfer RNA is filed under the name Cercodemas anceps. RNAcentral describes it as "tRNA-Phe". It matches the Rfam family "tRNA". From Rfam's summary of the family: Transfer RNA (tRNA) molecules are approximately 80 nucleotides in length. Lineage: Eukaryota; Metazoa; Echinodermata; Holothuroidea; Dendrochirotida; Cucumariidae. The record is from RNAcentral.
AUUAAAAUAGCUUAAUAAAAAAAGCUUGGCGCUGAAAAUGCCAGAUUAAAGGUUAAAACCCUUUUUUUAAUA